CGUGUCUCGAGAGGCUGUUCGCUUGCAUCACAUUCACAAGAGAGAGGAAUGUUGGGUAAUCGUGUGAGAAAAGUUGAAAGAUCUAAUCAUAGAGACCCAAAUAGGCUAAUUGGCAAGCGGCUGAACAACGCAGCUCCAUCGUCUAGCUACCAUCGGGCAGCCCAGCUCCUUCGCGUCACUUCCCCCACGGCGCCUCUGUUUUUCCUGGGGUAAGCCUCUGCCGCACGCGUCUUCUUCUUCUCUGUAGCGCAGGUGUAUAUACGUUUGAGGGUAAUAAACUUGAUGAAUCAAUCUAAUCAGUAUCUACUCAGAGAAUAACUUGCAGGGCAGUAUUCGGGAAUAAGUGCCCAUAUGAAAAGGAAUUCAUUCAUAAAUUUGCUGCAUGAUAUUAUUAAAGUCGCUGGAGGUUUCGACUUACCUGAUUUGUUCCCUUCACUCAAGUUCCUUGGUUUCCUCACUGGGACAAGGCCCAAGUUGUUGAAGAUACAGAGGAGAAUAGACAACAUUCUCGAAAAUAUACUUAAUGAGCAUAAGAUCAAAAGAAGCACCACUUCAGCGGCUAGCAGCAAAGAUGAGUCAUAAGGCCAUGUUCAUCAUGAUGAUAUAUACUCAAUAAGCUUUUGAACCUUCAGGCGGCGGCCGAGCUUGAAUUCAAUAUAACAAGGAAAUUAAUCAUUUUUAGAGAGAACCCAUUGAAAGUGUUCUUAGGUGCAUUCUUUCUUGGGGAUUGACUUAACUAUCAAACACUCACUUGUCAUUUCUCAGCUUGUAGCAUUCAACAUGCAGAUCUUCAAAGAAUUCCAACACAAGUUAUCGAGCUGGCUGGCUGGCUACAUUUCAUAACUGGGAAAAGGUUUCAAUUAAUUUCUUCCUUCGUGUUUGUUCAAUCAAUAUCUUGCUCUUUCCGUGAGGCUUAAGGUAAGGGCUUGAUUUUCAUUUCUGUGUGUUGGUCACAACAGUGCGAAGGAUGCCUGUUCUAUUGAUUAUCAAACAAUAUUAAUACGUUUGUGCAAUUUUUGCAAUUUUUGCUUGCCAAAUGCCAUUUUCCCACAACAUUGUAACAAAGGCAGCGCCUCUGCAUUAUUCUUUUACAACCCCUACCAAAAAAGAAAAGCUUCUCAAAAUCAAACGUUGAAUGUCACACUCUCCUCAUAUGGAGACGAACUCCAUGUUCUGGUUCGAUAAGCAAUCUGACAACAGGGGAGUGUCGGUAUGCUGAUGAUAGCGAGAAGCAAAACUUGGACGGAAUGAGACAUAACAUUACCUUCAGCUCUGUCAUGGCUAAGUGUUGGCCAACACAGACUCGAGCCCCGAAUCCAAAUGGGAUAAAUGCCUGUGGAAUCUUGCAGGCCCCACUAAUUCCGUGGGAAAAUCUUUCUGGAUUGAACUCGCGGGCAUCAGGCCUCCAUAGAUCUGGGUGUUGCUGCAACAUUGCAACAGGAAUCCAGAUGUAUAUACCUUCUGGAAUCAGUAUGUCUUUGAAUUUAAUGUCUUGCCCUGCUGCUCUUGUGACUGCUGGUACUGGUGGGUAAAGGUGCAAUGUCUCUUGAAUUACCAUUGCCAACUGCAAAUAAUCAGAAAGAUUAGAAUACACUUCCAUCAUUUUGGUCUAUAUGGGAUGAGAAAAUUCAUGUUUUGUUAAAUCUUUUUCAUGCUUUGAGGCAGAUCAGGAUGGCGUAAGAACAAAAUCUGCACAACAGUAAGAGAACAUUUUGACCAGCAGAUAAUAGUUUGUAGCUCUUAAUUUGCUAGCAGCCAUAUGCCAUUCCUUCUGCUCUGUAAAAACACUUUUAUGGACAUAAUGAAUUUAUAAUGGUACAUAUUGUUUUCAUGUUUCGGAUCGUAUCAGCAUCUGGAAGGCCGCCUUUACACAUUUCAAGCACCUCAGCACGAGCACAAGCACGAGCUUGCCAUUCGGGAUAUGCAGCUAAUAACAUCAAGCUCCAUGAUGCUGUGAUGGCAACGGUCUCAUAGCCGCCAAGAUAUAUAGUUUUGCAAUUAUCCACGAUGAACUUGUCAGGAGAGAGAUCCAACAAAUCACUAGCCUUUUUGGCUCCUUCAAGUAUCAUUUGCAGAAGAUCCUUCUCGAAAACUUCAAUGCAAUGGUACCUAAACUUGGGGAUUCCGAGAGUUGUCUUCGACAUGAUUUUUUGGAGAGUUCUGAACUUCAAGUUGAAUU
Juglans regia (Persian walnut) is the source of this 2179-nucleotide long non-coding RNA. RefSeq lists it as uncharacterized. NCBI's taxonomy places the organism in Eukaryota, Viridiplantae, Streptophyta, Magnoliopsida, Fagales, Juglandaceae. The transcript has 3 exons. The record is from RefSeq and is a predicted model, not a curated record.